CACAUGCAGUCGAGCGGUUGAGGGAAGCUUGCUUCCUGAUUCAGCGGCGGACGGGUGAGUAAUGCCUAGGAAUCUGCCUGGUAGUGGGGGACAACGUUUCGAAAGGAACGCUAAUACCGCAUACGUCCUACGGGAGAAAGCAGGGGACCUUCGGGCCUUGCGCUAUCAGAUGAGCCUAGGUCGGAUUAGCUAGUUGGUGAGGUAAUGGCUCACCAAGGCGACGAUCCGUAACUGGUCUGAGAGGAUGAUCAGUCACACUGGAACUGAGACACGGUCCAGACUCCUACGGGAGGCAGCAGUGGGGAAUAUUGGACAAUGGGCGAAAGCCUGAUCCAGCCAUGCCGCGUGUGUGAAGAAGGUCUUCGGAUUGUAAAGCACUUUAAGUUGGGAGGAAGGGCAGUCAGCGAAUACCUUGCUGUCUUGACGUUACCGACAGAAUAAGCACCGGCUAACUCUGUGCCAGCAGCCGCGGUAAUACAGAGGGUGCAAGCGUUAAUCGGAAUUACUGGGCGUAAAGCGCGCGUAG
RNAcentral lists this ribosomal RNA (526 nucleotides) under Pseudomonas sp. Its description in RNAcentral is "bacterial SSU rRNA". It matches the Rfam family "Bacterial small subunit ribosomal RNA", at positions 52 to 574 of the family's 1533-position model. The record is from RNAcentral. Lineage: Bacteria; Pseudomonadati; Pseudomonadota; Gammaproteobacteria; Pseudomonadales; Pseudomonadaceae.